RNAcentral lists this ribosomal RNA (119 nucleotides) under Aegilops tauschii subsp. strangulata. The record is from RNAcentral. Lineage: Eukaryota; Viridiplantae; Streptophyta; Magnoliopsida; Poales; Poaceae.
GGAUGCGAUCAUACCAGCACUAAAGCACCGGAUCCCAUCAGAACUCUGAAGUUAAGCAUGCUUGUGCGAGAGUAGUACUAGGUUGGGUGACCUCCUGGGAAGUCCUCGUGUUGCAUUCC